RNAcentral lists this ribosomal RNA (403 nucleotides) under Verrucomicrobiota bacterium. Its description in RNAcentral is "Verrucomicrobia bacterium partial 16S ribosomal RNA". It matches the Rfam family "Bacterial small subunit ribosomal RNA", at positions 355 to 776 of the family's 1533-position model. The record is from RNAcentral. Lineage: Bacteria; Pseudomonadati; Verrucomicrobiota.
UGGGGAAUAUUGCACAAUGGGGGAAACCCUGAUGCAGCGACGCCGCGUGAGCGAAGAAGGCUUUCGAGUCGUAAAGCUCUGUCCUAUGAGAAGAUAAUGACGGUAUCAUAGGAGGAAGCCCUGGCUAAAUACGUGCCAGCAGCCGCGGUAAUACGUAUGGGGCGAGCGUUGUCCGGAAUUAUUGGGCGUAAAGGGUACGUAGGCGGUUUUUUAAGUCAGGUGUCAAAGCGUGGAGCUUAACUCCAUUAAGCACUUGAAACUGAAAGACUUGAGUGAAGGAGAGGAAAGUGGAGUUCCUAGUGUCGCGGUGAAAUGCGUAGAUAAUAGGAGGAAUACCGGUGGCGAAGGCGACUUUCUGGACUUUUACUGACGCUCAGGUACGAAAGCGUGGGGAGCAAACAGG